GAAGUAUCUCAUCCAGUCGCUGUCAACACGUCGAUGGAGGAAAGUCCGGGCUCCGCAGGGCAGGGUGCAGGAGAGAAGCCUGUGGGUGCGAACCCAAGGAAAGUGCCACAGAAAAAAAACCGCCCGGCGCAAACCCGGGCAAGGGUGAAAAGGCGAGGUAAGAGCUCACCGGACGCGCGGCGACGUGCGUGCCUGGCAAACCCCACCCGGAGCAAGGUCGAAUAGGGGAGGACGAGGUUGCCCGCUGACUCCCGGGUACGACCGCUCAGAUAAAUGACUGGACACGACAGAACCCGGCUUACGAGAUGCUUCCACA
This 316-nucleotide RNase P RNA is filed under the name Synergistaceae bacterium. RNAcentral's name for it is "RNase P RNA component class A". It matches the Rfam family "Bacterial RNase P class A". Rfam says of the family: Ribonuclease P (RNase P) is a ubiquitous endoribonuclease, found in archaea, bacteria and eukarya as well as chloroplasts and mitochondria. Its best characterised activity is the generation of mature 5'-ends of tRNAs by cleaving the 5'-leader elements of precursor-tRNAs. The record is from RNAcentral. Lineage: Bacteria; Thermotogati; Synergistota; Synergistia; Synergistales; Synergistaceae.